This 915-nucleotide ribosomal RNA is filed under the name uncultured archaeon. Its description in RNAcentral is "bacterial SSU rRNA". It matches the Rfam family "Archaeal small subunit ribosomal RNA", at positions 1 to 923 of the family's 1478-position model. The record is from RNAcentral.
UUCCGGUUGAUCCCGCCGGACCUGACUGCUAUCGGAUUGAUACUAAGCCAUGCGAGUCAUUGCAGCAAUGCAAGGCAGACGGCUCAGUAACGCGUAGUCAACCUAACCUAUGGACGGGAAUAACCUCGGGAAACUGAGAAUAAUGCCCGAUAGAACACUAUACCUGGAAUGGUUUGUGUUCCAAAUGAUUUAUCGCCGUAGAUGGGACUGCGGCCUAUCAGUUUGUUGGUGGGGUAAUGGCCCACCAAGACUAUUACAGGUACGGGCUCUGAGAGGAGUAGCCCGGAGAUGGGUACUGAGACACGGACCCAGSCCCUAUGGGGCGCAGCAGGCGAGAAAACUUUGCAAUGCGCGAAAGCACGACAAGGUUAAUCCGAGUGGUUUCUGCUAAAGGAACCUUUUGUUAGUCCUAGAAACACUAACGAAUAAGGGGUGGGCAAGUUCUGGUGUCAGCCGCCGCGGUAAAACCAGCACCUCAAGUGGUCAGGAUGAUUAUUGGGCCUAAAGCAUCCGUAGCCGGCUCUGUAAGUUUUCGGUUAAAUCUGUACGCUCAACGUACAGGCUGCCGGGAAUACUGCAGAUCUAGGGAGUGGGAGAGGUAGACGGUACUCGGGAGGAAGUGGUAAAAUGCUUUGAUCUCUCGAUGACCACCUGUGGCGAAGGCAGGUCUACCAGAACACGUCCGACGGUGAGGGAUGAAAGCUGGGGGAGCAAACCGGAUUAGAUACCCGGGUAGUCCCAGCUGUAAACUAUGCAAACUCAAUGAUGCAUUGGCUUGUGGMCAAUGCAGUAUUGCAGGGAAGCCGUUAAGUUUGCCGCCUGGGAAGUACUAUCGCAAGAUAGAAACUUAAAGGAAUUGGCGGGGGAGCACCACAAGGGGUGAAGUCUGCGGUUCAAUUGGAUUCACCGCCGGGA